Molecule: ribosomal RNA, 253 nt
Filed under: uncultured bacterium
Lineage: Bacteria
Description: partial 16S ribosomal RNA
Rfam family: Bacterial small subunit ribosomal RNA
Source: RNAcentral
GACAGAGGGUGCAAACGUUGUUCGGAAUUACUGGGCGUAAAGCGAGUGUAGGCGGUUUGGUAAGUCGGAUGUGAAAGCCCCGGGCUCAACUCGGGAAGUGCACUCGAUACUGCCAAGCUAGAGUAUCGGAGAGGUUGGUGGAAUUCUCGGUGUAGAGGUGAAAUUCGUAGAUAUCGAGAGGAACACCGGUGGCGAAGGCGGCCAACUGGACGAAUACUGACGCUGAGACUCGAAAGCGUGGGGAGCAAACAGG